UACGUAGGGUGCAAGCGUUAAUCGGAAUUACUGGGCGUAAAGCGUGCGCAGGCGGCUUUGCAAGACAGAUGUGAAAUCCCCGGGCUUAACCUGGGAACUGCAUUUGUGACUGCAUGGCUAGAGUGCGGCAGAGGGGGAUGGAAUUCCGCGUGUAGCAGUGGAAUGCGCAGAUAUCAGGAGGAACACCAAUAGCGAAGGCAGCUCGCUGGGACGGUACUGACGCUGAGGUGCGAAAGCGUGGGGAGCAAACAGG
This 253-nucleotide ribosomal RNA is filed under the name uncultured bacterium. RNAcentral's name for it is "partial 16S ribosomal RNA". It matches the Rfam family "Bacterial small subunit ribosomal RNA", at positions 524 to 776 of the family's 1533-position model. The record is from RNAcentral.